UCAUUCAGUCUUACCUCUCAUGCCUUGUCUUUCCCUGUUUUCUACAGCUUACCUUUCAUUCCAUGAGCAAUACCAGCAGAGCAGGUACAAAUACAGACAUCCCUGGUGUUUCCUGCACUACCAUAGAGAACCCGCUUUUUUUCUAGACCACUUUGACAAUUCUGUCAACCAUGUCUUGGUGAAAUAAAGAGAGCACACACUGGCCUGGGGUUGUGGCUCAGUGGUAAAGUACUCACCUAGCAUGUGUGAAGCACUGGAUUUGAUCCUCGGCACCACCUUAAAAUGAAGG
This 289-nucleotide long non-coding RNA is filed under the name Ictidomys tridecemlineatus (thirteen-lined ground squirrel). Its description in RNAcentral is "lncRNA (ENSSTOG00000033502.1)". The record is from RNAcentral. Lineage: Eukaryota; Metazoa; Chordata; Mammalia; Rodentia; Sciuridae.